This 207-nucleotide ribosomal RNA is filed under the name Finegoldia magna. RNAcentral describes it as "partial 16S ribosomal RNA". It matches the Rfam family "Bacterial small subunit ribosomal RNA", at positions 1 to 189 of the family's 1533-position model. Lineage: Bacteria; Bacillati; Bacillota; Tissierellia; Tissierellales; Peptoniphilaceae. The record is from RNAcentral.
UUAAAUUGAGAGUUUGAUCCUGGCUCAGGACGAACGCUGGCGGCGUGCUUAACACAUGCAAGUCGAACGGGAUUUAGUAAACAGAAGCCUCGGUGGAAGAUUACUAAUGAGAGUGGCGAACGGGUGAGUAACGCGUGAGCAACCUGCCUAUGACAGUGGGAUAGCCUCGGGAAACCGGGAUUAAUACCGCAUAAAAUCGUAGAAACA